CUGCUCACUGAGUUUUAAAGAGCUGCAAUAUUUUGAUUGUGCUAAGGUAGCAAAAUAAUUUGUUUAUUAAUUGUAAACUUGUAUGAAGGAUUUAACGUAUUUAUAUCUUUUUUAAUUUUAUUUUUAGAAUUUAUUUUUAAAGUGCAAAAACUUUAAUGAUUUUGAUAGAAGAUAAGACCCUAAGAAUUUAUUUUAUAGUAUUGUUCAAUUUUUGGAUUGUAUUUUAAAUUAGUUGGGGUGACUGUUAAGUAUAUUAAUCUUAAUUUUAUUUUUACUAUAUUAGGUUUAUUUGACUGUUUAUGUUUAAAAGUUUAAUUACCUUAGGGAUAACAGCGUUAUAUUUAUUUAUAGUUCAUAUGGUAAUAGGUGUUUGCGACCUCGAUGUUGGAUUAAGUUUAAUUUUUGGAGCAUAAACUAAAAAUAAGAGUCUGUUCGACUUUUAAAACUUACGUGAUCUGA
RNAcentral lists this ribosomal RNA (459 nucleotides) under Sacculina leptodiae. RNAcentral's name for it is "partial 16S ribosomal RNA". The stretch from base 326 to 459 matches the Rfam family "Archaeal large subunit ribosomal RNA", at positions 2542 to 2677 of the family's 2987-position model. Lineage: Eukaryota; Metazoa; Arthropoda; Thecostraca; Sacculinidae. The record is from RNAcentral.